UAUAGUCUACUUCAAUUGGAAACAAUU
This 27-nucleotide non-coding RNA is filed under the name Candidatus Kuenenbacteria bacterium GW2011_GWA2_42_15. The record is from RNAcentral. Lineage: Bacteria; Candidatus Kueneniibacteriota.